GAUGAAGAACGCAGCGAAAUGCGAUACGUAAUGUGAAUUGCAGAAUUCGGUGAAUCAUCGAGUCUUUGAACGCACAUUGCGCCCCCUGGUAUUCCGGGGGGCAUGCCUGUCCGAGCGUCAUUGCUGCCCUCAAGCACGGCUUGUGUGUUGGGCCUCCGUCCUCCUCCCGGGGGACGGGCCCGAAAGGCAGCGGCGGCACCGCGUCCGGUCCUCGAGCGUAUGGGGCUUCGUCACCCGCUCUUGUAGGCCCGGCCGGCGCUUGCCGACACAUCAAUCUUUUUUCCAGGUUGACCUCAGAUCAGGUAGGAAUACCCGCUGAACUUAAGCAUAUCAAUAAGCGGAGGA
Molecule: unclassified non-coding RNA, 345 nt
Filed under: soil metagenome
Description: partial contains 5.8S ribosomal RNA, internal transcribed spacer 2, and large subunit ribosomal RNA
Rfam family: 5.8S ribosomal RNA (bases 1-120)
Source: RNAcentral